RNAcentral lists this ribosomal RNA (253 nucleotides) under uncultured bacterium. Its description in RNAcentral is "partial 16S ribosomal RNA". It matches the Rfam family "Bacterial small subunit ribosomal RNA", at positions 524 to 776 of the family's 1533-position model. The record is from RNAcentral.
UACGAAGGGGGCUAGCGUUGUUCGGAAUCACUGGGCGUAAAGGGCGCGUAGGCGGUGUGUCAAGUCAGGCGUGAAAGCCCCGGGCUCAACCUGGGAACCGCGCUUGAGACUGGCACGCUCGAGUUCGGGAGAGGAUGGUGGAAUUCCCAGUGUAGAGGUGAAAUGCGUAGAUAUCUGGAGGAAUACCGGUGGCGAAGGCGGCAUCCUGGACCGGCAUUGACGCUGAGGAGCGAAAGCCAGGGGAGCAAACGGG